RNAcentral lists this transfer RNA (87 nucleotides) under Calditrichota bacterium. Its description in RNAcentral is "Calditrichaeota bacterium (activated sludge metagenome) tRNA-Ser". It matches the Rfam family "tRNA". Rfam says of the family: Transfer RNA (tRNA) molecules are approximately 80 nucleotides in length. The record is from RNAcentral. Lineage: Bacteria; Pseudomonadati; Calditrichota. RNAcentral also lists the same sequence under 1 other name.
GGAGAGGUGCCGGAGCGGUUGAACGGGGCGGUCUUGAAAACCGUUGUGGCUCUUGGGUCACCGUGGGUUCGAAUCCCACCCUCUCCG